Erpetoichthys calabaricus (reedfish) is the source of this 376-nucleotide long non-coding RNA. RefSeq lists it as uncharacterized. The transcript is spliced from 2 exons. Lineage: Eukaryota; Metazoa; Chordata; Cladistia; Polypteriformes; Polypteridae. The record is from RefSeq and is a predicted model, not a curated record.
AUUUUCCACCAAUUUCUCUUCCCACUGUUUUUUCCAUAUGCUUUUUCCUCGAAAUCUCCUGUUUCCAGCCUUGCUCAUUCCAUGUUACACUUCUGUUUAAAUUACUCCAAUAGGAUGGAUGGAUGGAUUUCUGAGCCCCUUUAAAGGUCGCUCUGAGAGCCCACCAUUCCAUUUUUCAAGUCCAAUUCUCAUCCUUGCUUUUCCUGAUCCUGCCUUCCUUACCAGUUCAUCUUCCUCCUCCUCCACUUCCAUACCCUUUCCUCACAAAAUCUCAGUUUUCAGUCUGUUUCAUUCCAACCUUUUUUCUAUGUCAGUCACUCCUGCUACUUAUUUUUCUAAUCUUACCUGUCCAAGCCCAUUUUCUACUUUCUCCAAA